AGUUACCCGCAUUCAAGCACUACCGCCUGAGGGUGUACCGGAUGCAAGGCGAAACUCAAAGGUAAUUGCCGGGGGGCUCCGCACAAGCGGUGGAGCAUGUGGUUUAAUUUGAAGCAACGCGAAGAACCUUACCAGGUCUUGACAUCCUCUGAAAACCCUAGAGAUAGGGCUUCUCCUUCGGGAGCAGAGUGACAGGUGGUGCAUGGUUGUCGUCAGCUCGUGUCGUGAGAUGUUGGGUUAAGUCCCGCAACGAGCGCAACCCUUGAUCUUAGUUGCCAUCAUUAAGUUGGGCACUCUAAGGUGACUGCCGGUGACAAACCGGAGGAAGGUGGGGAUGACGUCAAAUCAUCAUGCCCCUUAUGACCUGGGCUACACACGUGCUACAAUGGACGGUACAAAGAGCUGCAAGACCGCGAGGUGGAGCUAAUCUCAUAAAACCGUUCUCAGUUCGGAUUGUAGGCUGCAACUCGCCUACAUGAAGCCGGAAUCGCUAGUAAUCGCGGAUCAGCAUGCCGCGGUGAAUACGUUCCCGUGAGAUAACACCCCGCCUCACGAAACGGAAGAGUUGCUAACCCCCGAAGUCGGUGGGGUUACCUUUGAAGAGCCUAGCACAGCGGUUGUCGAGGCAACGAGCACGAGUUGAGCG
Molecule: ribosomal RNA, 646 nt
Filed under: Bacillus sp. (in: firmicutes)
Lineage: Bacteria; Bacillati; Bacillota; Bacilli; Caryophanales; Bacillaceae
Description: bacterial SSU rRNA
Rfam family: Bacterial small subunit ribosomal RNA (bases 80-532)
Source: RNAcentral